This 253-nucleotide ribosomal RNA is filed under the name uncultured bacterium. RNAcentral's name for it is "partial 16S ribosomal RNA". It matches the Rfam family "Bacterial small subunit ribosomal RNA", at positions 524 to 776 of the family's 1533-position model. The record is from RNAcentral.
UACAGAGGCCUCGAGCGUUAGGCGGAAUCACUGGGCUUAAAGCGUGUGUAGGCGGACUUCUAAGUGCCUUGUGAAAUCCCACGGCUCACCCGUGGAACGGCUGGGCAUACUGGGAGUCUUGAGCCACCUAGGGGCUGCCGGAACAAAUGGUGGAGCGGUGAAAUGCGUAGAUAUCAUUUGGAACGCCAAUGGUGAAAACAGGUAGCUGGGGCUGUACUGACACUGAGACACGAAAGCCAGGGGAGCAAACGGG